This 279-nucleotide long non-coding RNA is filed under the name Homo sapiens (human). Its description in RNAcentral is "non-protein coding lnc-TXNRD2-1:1". Lineage: Eukaryota; Metazoa; Chordata; Mammalia; Primates; Hominidae. The record is from RNAcentral.
CCAAGAACUCAAAUCCCUAUUGGGACUCAGGUGGUCUUGUAGCUGCCCUUUGCCCCCAGGAUCUGAAAAAAACAGCCCUGCAGACUGAAGCCGGAAAACUUGAUAUAAACUUGAAAGAACUCAGAACCACAACAGAUUCUCCAGGGGCAGCCUUUGUGCCUGGAGCUGCUGCUACACAGGCCGCCCAGGAAGACCCCCCCUCCAGCUCCUGCAUGCCACAUGCUCUCUCCAGAAAGUAACCACAACUGGGAUACCAAUGCCUAUGCCAUCAUCACAGAC